AGUGGAACUGAUGGGUCAUAUGGUUACUUUUUGUUUAACCUUUUGAAUAAUUACCAGACUGUUUUCCAAAGUGGCUGCCCCAUUAUACAUCCUUACCAGCAGU
This 103-nucleotide microRNA precursor is filed under the name Marmota monax (woodchuck). Lineage: Eukaryota; Metazoa; Chordata; Mammalia; Rodentia; Sciuridae. The record is from RNAcentral.